UACGAAGGGGGCGAGCGUUAUUCGGAAUCACUGGGCGUAAAGCGUGCGUAGGCUGUUCGGCAAGUUGGAAGUGAAAGCCCAGGGCUCAACCCUGGAAUUGCUUUCAAAACUGCCGAACUAGAGUCCGGGAGAGGAUAGCGGAAUUUCCAGUGUAGUAGUGAAAUUCGUAGAUAUUGGGAAGAACACCGGUGGCGAAGGCGGCUCUCUGGACCGUAACUGACGCUGAGGCGCGAAAGCGUGGGGAGCAAACAGG
RNAcentral lists this ribosomal RNA (253 nucleotides) under uncultured bacterium. Its description in RNAcentral is "partial 16S ribosomal RNA". It matches the Rfam family "Bacterial small subunit ribosomal RNA", at positions 524 to 776 of the family's 1533-position model. The record is from RNAcentral.